Clarias gariepinus (North African catfish) is the source of this 328-nucleotide long non-coding RNA. RefSeq lists it as uncharacterized. Lineage: Eukaryota; Metazoa; Chordata; Actinopteri; Siluriformes; Clariidae. The transcript is spliced from 3 exons. The record is from RefSeq and is a predicted model, not a curated record.
AGAGACAAGAAGGCUGUGAGGAUGUGAGAAUGGACAUGAAGCACCUGGAACAUUCUGGAACAUUCCUUACAAAUCCUGCACCAACACCACUAAUGAAGAGAAGUUGAAUGGAGAUAAAACAGGAGGUGCCAGCAUUAUGGGAUGGCGGUGUAAACUGUGUGCAUUUGUCGCAACAUCAAAAGGAAUUUCGAUCAUUAUGGAGUGAAUGGCAGAAGUAUUGUUUCUGAGACUGUUUACUAAUAAGAUAAAUCCAGCUCUCUGUUUAUGAUCUUGUUACAUGUCAUUUGCAUGUGAACCAGGUUGAGUUUAGACUUCAUGUCUUGUCAAA